AGUGAACGCUGGCGGUAGGCCUAACACAUGCAAGUCGAACGGCAGCACAGUAAGAGCUUGCUCUUACGGGUGGCGAGUGGCGGACGGGUGAGGAAUACAUCGGAAUCUACUUUUUCGUGGGGGAUAACGUAGGGAAACUUACGCUAAUACCGCAUACGACCUACGGGUGAAAGCAGGGGAUCUUCGGACCUUGCGCGAUUGAAUGAGCCGAUGUCGGAUUAGCUAGUUGGCGGGGUAAAGGCCCACCAAGGCGACGAUCCGUAGCUGGUCUGAGAGGAUGAUCAGCGACACUGGAACUGAGACACGGUCCAGACGACUACGGGACGCAGCAGUGGGGAAUAUUGGACAGUGGGGGCAAGCCUGAUCCAGCCAUAGCGAGUGGGUGAAGAAGGCCUUCGGGUUGUAAAGACCUUUUGUUGGGAAAGAAAAGCAGCAGGUUAAUACCCCGCUGUUCUGACGGUACCCAAAGAAUAAGCACCGGCUAACUUCGUG
RNAcentral lists this ribosomal RNA (492 nucleotides) under uncultured bacterium. RNAcentral's name for it is "partial 16S ribosomal RNA". It matches the Rfam family "Bacterial small subunit ribosomal RNA", at positions 29 to 507 of the family's 1533-position model. The record is from RNAcentral.